This 744-nucleotide unclassified non-coding RNA is filed under the name Hevea brasiliensis (rubber tree). Lineage: Eukaryota; Viridiplantae; Streptophyta; Magnoliopsida; Malpighiales; Euphorbiaceae. The record is from RNAcentral.
GAUACUGUUGAUGAAGUCAUAGAGGUCCAAGUCUUAUCAUCUUCAUAUUUAUUUCACCUUUACCCUGCAUGAUAGUGCAAAUUCUCUGCUUAUGAAAAUUUUGAAGUAAAUGAGAGGAAGGAAAAAUUUUAAAAGGUCUUCCUAUAUAAUUGGUUACACAAUUGGAAUACAGUUACAUUUUUCUAUCUUUGUGACGUUGGUUGCUUGUGGAAUCUUAAGUUCAUAUUUUGACAUUUGCAGUUGUAUUGCUUGAUCCUGCUUCUUUAAACCUACCUUAUUUUCUUUUUCUUGAAAUAUGAUUCAUAAAUGACAGAAUUUUUAACCUUUAUUUUAUUUAAACUUUUAAAGAUUUUGUGUGUUUCUAUUGAAGAACGUAAAUGGUGAUGAUGUUUUCUCCGUCAGUUGCACUGAUUUCAUUACUUCAGCACCAUGAUGAUGGAAAAUGGAAACGUAACCUCGAUAUGGAUAUAUAUUAAUUUUCGUUCUAAUUGCUGCAUUGAGAUUUUCACAUAAAAUUGCUUAUAUCACUUUAGCUUUGGGUUGUUGAACUUGAAUGUUUAUUUUGUAGAACUGCAUAAAUCCUUUGUCUUGCCAAGCAAUAGGCACCACCAGCUUAUACUUCAUGCCAUGCUUGUGCUUGUGUUCUAAGUGUGUAGUUUAGCCCCACAUUUGAAUUGCAGAUUAUAAUAUGUACCAUAUCUCAAUUUUCUCUUUUUGAAUAGUUGGCAGAUAUCAAGUGAUGAA